Molecule: long non-coding RNA, 3470 nt
Organism: Brassica rapa (field mustard)
Lineage: Eukaryota; Viridiplantae; Streptophyta; Magnoliopsida; Brassicales; Brassicaceae
Source: RefSeq, a predicted model, not a curated record
GAGAGAGAGAGAGAGAGAAGAGAGAGAGAGAGAGAGAGAGAGAGAGAGAAAGAGAGAGAGAGAGAGAGAGAGAGUCUUUGACGACUGAAUAGCUCAGAAUUGGUAGAACGUUACCGGUUUUGAUGUAGCGAAAGCUACUAUAACACAAAGAUCUUAUUUAGUCUAAGAAUUAAUACUUAAGAUCAAUGUUUUCUUAAAUUCGUUGAGAUCACCAAUGAUCUACCAAAAAUAAGGAAUAAAAGAAAAAACUCUCGACUUUUAUUAAUCAAAUAUAAAUAACUAUCUAAAUUUAAUAUAAUUAGUAAAAUAAAUAAUAAGAUAUUUGAAAAUAUUUCAUAUACUUAUUUGCAUUAGGUUUCAUACCCUUGUCCAAUUUCAGUGAUAAACUUUUCAAAAAUGUCAUAUAAAAUAUCAAAGAAAUAGCCAUAAAUGAAAACAUAUCUAUAUUUAUAAUUUUUGGAAGUCUUAUUAGUCCGUAGUUUGACUAAUAGUUCAUUAAUAUUUUUUUACUGGGUGAUCGGGUCCAUAUCUUAAAAGAAAUUAUAAUUUUACAAGCAAGCCUGCUGUUCAAUAUAUUAAAUAAAAAGUCAAAAUCAAAGGGAAAAAUAAGAAGUUAAUACAGUCAAACACAUUUCCAAAAUGAGAAUCGAAAUAAGGAAGAAAAAUAAGAGAAGGAAAUGAAGCCGUGACCCUGACUUUUAUCUAUAAAUUUAACUCGCCUUCGUCCUAUUUGCUCCACAUUUUUUUUUAAUCGUUCAUUUUCUGUAAGUUUUCAAGAUUAUUAUUUGAACUACGCUUUUAUUUUGAUUUUCUCUUUGCAUUAUAAGAUAAUUCUCUUAUUUUUCGAAAUAAUUGUUUCUGUUUAGAUUUUUUUGGUGAAAGACCUUCACAACUCUCCUCAAUGGUUUAUUAUUUUAUUAUUAUAUUCGCUAACUCUGUUUACCGUUUUAGGAAACCUAGUUAAUUCAUAAUUUCCAACUCAAUUAUUAUACUUUUUGAUGAAUUGUGAUUCGUCUUUAAUAGGUUCGACGUUCAUUGACUUUUUAAAAUAUUUACAGAUUCAUACAAUAUAAAACAAACAUCAACCAUGGUUUCAAACACUCAUGAGGACGGUCAGAUUGUGGUAUCAGAAAAGAUCACAUUGACAUCUCCACCUAGUUUAGUUUAUCCGAUCUUUAACUAAUGCAUCUUAUCUCAUCGAAUAAUGUUUUUGCAGAUGAUUGUAUGUGAUACAUGUGGUGAUCUAGGAUAUGAAGAUUUACUUGUCAUUUGUAGCAAAUGCAAAGUUGGUGCUGAACAUACCUACUGCAUGGUGGUAAAAGUCGACGUUCCCCCCGAGGAAUGGAUUUGCUAUGAUUGCACUGAAGAUAGAGAUGGAGUGCCAGAAGGAGAAGAAACUAGCUCCAUGGAAAGGAGAGUUGAAUCCUAUAUUGAUUUUUUUAAGGUAAUCACUACUAUAAUACAGCGUAUUUACACACAGAAGAAACUUUUUGUAAAAAUUGGUUGUCCAAAGAAACCAAAAUAUUUUUUGUUUUUUUUUUCUUUCCUUUAGCAGAUGGAAGAAAGAACAUUAUCUCAAGAACAGCCUGAUUUGUUGAGCACAAAUCUUAAUAUAGAUCUGAAUGCAGACCCCAAUAAUAUCGAUCUCAAUGCAGACCUCAACAGAGACAUGAACGAGGAACCUAGCUCCAGAAAAAGAAAAAUUGGACCCUCUGAUGAUCUUUCUAAGGCAAACCAUAACACCACACAUAUAUGCAAAAUAUGUUUUUAUCAGCCAAAAGUCCCAUUUUUUCCAAGAAAAUAUGAAAACCACUCUGUAUUUGUUUCCUUUUUGUAGUUGACAGAAGAAGCAUCAUCUCAAGCUGAUUUGUUGAACAGAAGAAGUCGUCCAAGAAUGGGGUUGGACUUGAACAAAGAACCUAACCCAGAUUUUGAAGAAGACCCUAACAUUGGUCUGAUGUAAAUGUAGGUCUUAACAUAGAUCUGAACGCAGACCCUCUAUAGAUCUCGUUGUGGAUCCGUAAUAUGAACUUAUCCAGUUAUCCUGACUUCCUGAGAUUGUAGUAUAUCUAUUUGGUUUGAAUUUCUAGUAAUUUUUAAAAUAAUAAAUUAGUAAAAGCGUCAUUAAGUUUUUAUAAAAGUGUCAUUUAAGUUUAUUUGUGACAAUAUUAUGUUGACAAAUAAGAACAACAAACGCCUUUUUCUGUUAAAAUAUAUUUGAAAAGAUUGUAAGUCAUAACAAAACAAUCUAUAAUAUAAUGAGGCAGUUAUCUCAUUCCUGAGCCGCCACGUCAGCGUUUUGGUGGGUUUCACUUUUAAAAAGUGUGAAAAAAUGUCAAGUCUGUGCCUCGUACUCCGGUUAUUGAGCUAUAAACACCAACUUUUAUACCACUAAACUAAAUGAUACUUUGUACAUUGAAGGCUGAAACUAAUAAUAUUUAUAAAGGUCGGAAACCUUUGCUUCUUCGGUUUUCUCUGUGGACCGGACCUACAAGUGUAUUACGAGUUUCAUUUUUAAAUGAGGUUUAUCACGUUAAUUUUCUAUUUAUCACAUUUAUUUAGUAUAAUUGUUUUUAAUUGAUUUCAUGAGUUUUUGUUAAAUAAUAUUAUUUGCAGAUUUCAUGAUUCAUGGGUUUAUUCCCGCCGGACGUGCUAAUCAUUACAUGCAAUUUUUAAAAGCCGGUUCUAUAGUGAAAGUCGAUCCUUUUGAAGUUGCUAGGUGCUCAAGCAUGUAUAAGAUAAUUGAUCAUCCAUUCCUCAUUUGUUUCAUCUCACCAACUAUUAUUGAUGAAGUCAUCGCGGGUGCUCUUGAGAUCAAUCUCCAAUCAUUAUUAAACUGUUUUACAAUUUCCAAGUGAUUGCAAAGACAAACCUAGAACUCUCAUGUAUAUUAUCAUAUUGCAUCUGAGUUUAUAAUAUGUUUUGUUAUCAUAACUGAUAUUUAAACUCGUAGAUGUGGUUGGGAAAAUCCGUUCUAUCCAAGGCUUUGGCCUUAGCAAAAAAAUAACUCGAGUCGUUAUUCGUCUCCUCAUUGAUCCGUAAGAAACAAUCAACACACAAUAUCCUUUAUAUUAUUAUCUAUAUUGUGCUAACAUCAAUAAUCAAAAAUAUUUUCUAACCAAAUUUUGUGGUCGUCUACUUAUCUCCCUUAUCAAACUAAUUUUACACAAGCCUUUAUUUUACAAUUUAAAAGAAACCACAACAACCUAAACAAUCAAAACACCAAAAACUAAAAUUUCAAAAAAAAACGAAUCAUUAAUGAUCACCUCUCUUUUUUGUCUAAUCUUAGAAAUAAACUUCGAAACAAAUAUACCAAACUAAUCACCUCAACUAAAACUCAACGACACAUAAAUCGAGUCAGCUAAACAAAUACAAGCUACACGGCCAGCUAUUUAAUAAUUUAUAAACUUACUUUCGCAACGAUACAUAUAUCGAAUCAACUAAACAAAUACAAACUACACAGCCACCUA